RNAcentral lists this RNase P RNA (350 nucleotides) under Leptospira bandrabouensis. RNAcentral's name for it is "RNase P RNA component class A". It matches the Rfam family "Bacterial RNase P class A". Rfam says of the family: Ribonuclease P (RNase P) is a ubiquitous endoribonuclease, found in archaea, bacteria and eukarya as well as chloroplasts and mitochondria. Its best characterised activity is the generation of mature 5'-ends of tRNAs by cleaving the 5'-leader elements of precursor-tRNAs. Cellular RNase Ps are ribonucleoproteins. The record is from RNAcentral. Lineage: Bacteria; Pseudomonadati; Spirochaetota; Leptospiria; Leptospirales; Leptospiraceae.
GACUCUGGCCGAGCGAUCGCCUUUUUCCUUCCUUCCGGGAGGAAAGGGGAGGAAAGUCCGGACACUAGGGGACAAUCGGACCGAGUAACACUUGGGCCUUUGGAUUUCAGAAAUGGGGUCCAGGGGACGGAAAGUGCAACAGAAAGUAAACCGCCUACUUCGGUAGGUAAGGGUGAAAGGGUGGGGUAAGAGCCCACCGCUCUAUUUGUAAAAAUAGGGGCAUGGUAAACCCUCCGAUGUGCAAUCUCAAGUAAACAACCGUUAUGAGUUUGUCCCGCCAGGUUGUGGGUAGAGAGCAUUAGAUAAAUGGUCGCAUAAAACAGAAUCCGGCUUACGGGCCAGAGUCACCU